This is a long non-coding RNA of Zingiber officinale, 476 nucleotides long. RefSeq lists it as uncharacterized. The record is from RefSeq and is a predicted model, not a curated record. NCBI's taxonomy places the organism in Eukaryota, Viridiplantae, Streptophyta, Magnoliopsida, Zingiberales, Zingiberaceae. The transcript is spliced from 3 exons.
GACGCCCAUGGCGGACGGUGACCGCCGAACAUAUGUCGUUAUUAAAGUUGUUGUUUGGUUGGCGUUGAGAGAGGUCUGCACGCACCAGCGCCGAAUUGAAGCGGGGCCAUGGCGGAUCCAGUGACAGUAAUUUUUUUUUCGUGAACGUUGACCAUGUAACCUGGUGGGAUCGACCUCAACUUUAACAGCUCGGAUGUGGAUGGUUGGAGGAGACGAAGAGAUCGGAUUGGAUAUCGAAGGAAGCUAAAGGAUGCAUCAUGAAUUAGCAUUAGAAAAGGUUCUGAAAUAAUGGGAGUUCCAGGGAAGACGGGGAAUAUCUCUGGUGAAGAGAACUAAAGAGAGAAACAUAGAGCAAUACAUGUUACCAUCUUAAGAUAACCACAUUUAGUUUUUAUUAUCUGUAUUUCACAAAUUUGUUAUUUUUUUUAAUCUUUGAUUCAAUGGAUUUACUGUGACAAAUUCUAACGAGCUUAUAU